Molecule: ribosomal RNA, 570 nt
Filed under: uncultured Alternaria
Lineage: Eukaryota; Fungi; Ascomycota; Dothideomycetes; Pleosporales; Pleosporaceae
Description: eukaryotic LSU rRNA
Rfam family: 5.8S ribosomal RNA (bases 196-349)
Source: RNAcentral
UCCGUAGGUGAACCUGCGGAGGGAUCAUUACACAAAUAUGAAGGCGGGCUGGAACCUCUCGGGGUUACAGCCUUGCUGAAUUAUUCACCCUUGUCUUUUGCGUACUUCUUGUUUCCUUGGUGGGUUCGCCCACCACUAGGACAAACAUAAACCUUUUGUAAUUGCAAUCAGCGUCAGUAACAAAUUAAUAAUUACAACUUUCAACAACGGAUCUUUUGGUUCUGGCAUCGAUGAAGAACGCAGCGAAAUGCGAUAAGUAGUGUGAAUUGCAGAAUUCAGUGAAUCAUCGAAUCUUUGAACGCACAUUGCGCCCUUUGGUAUUCCAAAGGGCAUGCUUGUUCGAGCGUCAUUUGUACCCUCAAGCUUUGCUUGGUGUUGGGCGUCUUGUCUCUAGCUUUGCUGGAGACUCGCCUUAAAGUAAUUGGCAGCCGGCCUACUGGUUUCGGAGCGCAGCACAAGUCGCACUCUCUAUCAGCAAAGGUCUAGCAUCCAUUAAGCCUUUUUUUCAACUUUUGACCUCGGAUCAGGUAGGGAUACCCGCUGAACUUAAGCAUAUCAAUAAGCGGAGGA